This is a long non-coding RNA of Drosophila sulfurigaster albostrigata, 430 nucleotides long. RefSeq lists it as uncharacterized. The transcript has 3 exons. NCBI's taxonomy places the organism in Eukaryota, Metazoa, Arthropoda, Insecta, Diptera, Drosophilidae. The record is from RefSeq and is a predicted model, not a curated record.
UACCCUAGAUAGAAAGUAUCAAUAAAUAUUUUUGUCAAAAAUGCAACUUUGCAAUUUUUACAGAUGUUUAAAGUCAGGUGAUUGAGCAGCUGAUUUUUGUGACAAAAUUGGCGGGAAAUUUUUAAUAACUUUGAGCGCUUGGCAAAUCUAAGCUAAACAAUAUUUUUCUAUUAUUUAAAAUGGAUAUUGAAGUUGGAGGAAAUCAAAAAGCUGACAAAAGUGUUCGUCUUCUGUAGAGGAAAAAAAGGUGUUCUGCGUAUUUGUGCGUUGUUUAAUAUGUGCUUGAAUUCUGUCACGCCACGUUGCUGGACGUGUGGAUGGACAGCGGGCGCCACUCUUCCGCGCUGGUUGAACUUGUAUUUGGUCAAAUAGAUGAAUGUACACUGAGUGACGACAAAAAAGAGAGCAAUAAAUUAAAAAAAAAAUUUAA